CCUGGAACUCACUAAGUAGACCAGGCUGGCCUAGAGCUCACAGAGACCUGCCUGUCUCUGCCUCCUGAGUGCUG
Molecule: microRNA precursor, 74 nt
Filed under: Nannospalax galili (Upper Galilee mountains blind mole rat)
Lineage: Eukaryota; Metazoa; Chordata; Mammalia; Rodentia; Spalacidae
Description: miRNA (ENSNGAG00000007541.1)
Source: RNAcentral